Molecule: transfer RNA, 69 nt
Filed under: Ictidomys tridecemlineatus (thirteen-lined ground squirrel)
Lineage: Eukaryota; Metazoa; Chordata; Mammalia; Rodentia; Sciuridae
Description: Spermophilus tridecemlineatus (thirteen-lined ground squirrel) tRNA
Rfam family: tRNA
About the family: Transfer RNA (tRNA) molecules are approximately 80 nucleotides in length. Their secondary structure includes four short double-helical elements and three loops (D, anti-codon, and T loops). Further hydrogen bonds mediate the characteristic L-shaped molecular structure. tRNAs have two regions of fundamental functional importance: the anti-codon, which is responsible for specific mRNA codon recognition, and the 3' end, to which the tRNAs corresponding amino acid is attached (by aminoacyl-tRNA synthetases). tRNAs cope with the degeneracy of the genetic code in two manners: having more than one tRNA (with a specific anti-codon) for a particular amino acid; and 'wobble' base-pairing, i.e. permitting non-standard base-pairing at the 3rd anti-codon position.
Source: Rfam by way of RNAcentral
GGGAUUGUGGCUCAAUGGUAGAGCGCUUGCCUAGCACGUGUGAGGCCCUGGGUUCAAUCCUCAGCACCA